UAGCUAAAUAAAGUUUCGUGUUCUUGCUAUGCGAGCUAAGAGGGAAGUAGGUUGAAUUCCUACGCGGUCCCGCCACUGUAAAGCGAGUAGCCAAUCUCAAUUAUAAGCCACUGAUUUUUCGGGAAGGCUGAGAGAGGUGUUGAUACGUUGAGCCAGGAGACCUGCACGGAAUGUUUCAUUUGG
Molecule: non-coding RNA, 183 nt
Filed under: Clostridiales bacterium S5-A14a
Lineage: Bacteria; Bacillati; Bacillota; Clostridia; Peptostreptococcales; Anaerovoracaceae
Also listed under: 1 other name
Source: RNAcentral